CUCACUUAACAUCUCCAAUAUCAAUCAUACAUCCUGCUUAGCAUCAUAAUCACAAUCAUAAAUCAUCAUGCAUUUGUUCACACAACUUGUGAACAAUUUACCUGUAUAUCAGCAUGUAACAUAAUCUCAAUCAUCAUCCACAUCAAACAUCAUCAAGCACACUCAUCAUGCAAUAAAAAAGUCAAACCAUAAUCAGAAAAGGUGUUCAGGCAAGUACAGACAUACCCUACACUACUCAACAAAAUCCAUCCUAAUCUAAA
Molecule: long non-coding RNA, 260 nt
Filed under: Vigna radiata
Lineage: Eukaryota; Viridiplantae; Streptophyta; Magnoliopsida; Fabales; Fabaceae
Description: long non-coding RNA (VRAD_LNC008745)
Source: RNAcentral